RNAcentral lists this ribosomal RNA (429 nucleotides) under Gemmatimonadota bacterium. RNAcentral's name for it is "Gemmatimonadetes bacterium partial 16S ribosomal RNA". It matches the Rfam family "Bacterial small subunit ribosomal RNA", at positions 355 to 776 of the family's 1533-position model. Lineage: Bacteria; Pseudomonadati; Gemmatimonadota. The record is from RNAcentral.
UAGGGAAUCUUCGGCAAUGGACGAAAGUCUGACCGAGCAACGCCGCGUGAGUGAAGAAGGUUUUCGGAUCGUAAAACUCUGUUGUUAGAGAAGAACAAGGACGUUAGUAACUGAACGUCCCCUGACGGUAUCUAACCAGAAAGCCACGGCUAACUACGUGCCAGCAGCCGCGGUAAUACGUAGGUGGCAAGCGUUGUCCGGAUUUAUUUGGCGUAAAGCGAGCGCAGGCGGUUUCUUAAGUCUGAUGUGAAAGCCCCCGGCUCAACCGGGGAGGGUCAUUGGAAACUGGGAGCCUUGAGUGCAGAAGAGGAGAGUGGAAUUCCAUGUGUAGCAGUGAAAUGCGUAGAUAUAUGGAGGAACACCAGUGGCGAAGGCGGCUCUCUGGUCUGUAACUGACGCUGAGGCUCGAAAGCGUGGGGAGCAAACAGG